RNAcentral lists this ribosomal RNA (501 nucleotides) under uncultured soil bacterium. RNAcentral describes it as "bacterial SSU rRNA". It matches the Rfam family "Bacterial small subunit ribosomal RNA", at positions 94 to 633 of the family's 1533-position model. The record is from RNAcentral.
AGUGGCGAACGGGUGCGUAACGCGUUGGUGACCUGCCCCAAAGUGUGGGAUAACAGUUCGAAAGGACUGCUAAUACCGCAUGUGAUCCUUUUAGAUAAAGCAGCGCUUUGGGAGGGACCUGCGUCCCAUCAGCUAGUUGGUGAGGUAAUGGCCCACCAAGGCUACGACGGGUAGGGGACCUGAGAGGGUGGUCCCCCACACUGGUACUGAAACACGGGCCAGACACCUACGGGUGGCAGCAGUAGGGAAUAUUGGGCAAUGGGCGAAAGCCUGACCCAGCAACGCCGCGUGCACGAUGAAGGUCUUCGGAUCGUAAAGUGCUUUUCUGAGAGAUGAGGGACAGUAUCUCAGGAAUAAGUCUCGGCUAACUGCGUGCCAGCAGCCGCGGUAACACGUAGGAGGCAAGCGUUAUCCGGAUUUACUGGGCGUAAAGCGCGUGCAGGUGGUUCGGUAAGUUGGAUGUGAAAGCUCCUGGCUCAACUGGGAGAGGUCGUUCAAAAC